Molecule: long non-coding RNA, 770 nt
Organism: Platichthys flesus (European flounder)
Lineage: Eukaryota; Metazoa; Chordata; Actinopteri; Pleuronectiformes; Pleuronectidae
Exons: 4
Source: RefSeq, a predicted model, not a curated record
GACAAUUUCCGACAACGAAAAAAAAAAAAUCUUGGAUGAAGAAGUGUCAGUGUCACUUCUAAUGCCUUGUUUCCUCUGUAGCUGGCAAAGAUUGCUGAUAGUAAGGACCAUGUCUCUCCUGUAAAUGACGGAUUCAAGGCUUUACAAGGGGUCAUUGACUCGAUCCUGAAUAAGUCAUGUAUUGAGAUUCUGUCAGCAGAGCCCUCCAGCAUCUGUGCAGGAGUGGUGAAGCCUUUAAUUGUGGAAGACACAUAUCUUCUCUGCCCUGCACCAGUGCUUCAAGAUGAGGGGAUGUAAGUCCUAGAUUUUAUUCAAAUGAAUGAGAGGUUUCAUCUGCUCUGUUUUUAAAGACCCCAGUAAAUGACAGAUGGAACAUUUUUACUUUUCAGGGCAGCAAAUCUCUACAUCACUAUGAACGAGGGUCUCAGUUUCAUCUCCAGCUCAGUCACAAUAACCGCAGUGGGAUGUGUAUCUGACCCCUAGGAAAUCCCCCACUGACUGUGUGUCAGGUGGCAUGUGUAUACAGAGUGCACAAGAGGGAUGACCCAACAGUACAAUGUCCAAUUUAUGUUGAAGUUGGUAAGUGAUGCAGUCUUUGGUUGAGGUGGCAUCAGGGGCUGAAGUGUUUUUUUUUUCUGUUGUUGUUGGGUUCAGGGGUGUUGGGUUGGUCUGAACACACAGCUAAGGAGGAAGCAUGUCUGCCGGAAAUAGAAAAUAAAAUGCUUCUACAAAUAAGAUUUCUAAUGAAUAAAAAAAAUAUUUAUUCUCGA